RNAcentral lists this long non-coding RNA (1644 nucleotides) under Cricetulus griseus (Chinese hamster). RNAcentral's name for it is "lncRNA (ENSCGRG00000025122.1)". The record is from RNAcentral. Lineage: Eukaryota; Metazoa; Chordata; Mammalia; Rodentia; Cricetidae.
AAACAAAUGUGUUUUGCUUCUCUCAGUGUUGUCCAAAAUUGCAUUGCAUUAUUAGACAUUGUUCUACAGAAAAUACUGAGAUUUUCUAGUUUCUUUCAGACAUGCUUUACUUUGACUUCAUGUCUCCUGAGGGGAAUUCCAACCAUAAAUUUUGUGAAUUGGAGGAAGAUAUACAAUAUUAUAUAUGCCAUGAAAGAACAAAGAAAAGAGUAUUGCACUUAGACAACAUAUGGAGUCAUGGAUCUCCCAAAUGCAUUUCUGUUUUGAAGGAAGCUCUCAUAAAUAAAACACACAGACUCCUAUGGAAUUACAGGACCUGUGAUAAGAGGAAGGAUGAUGCACCCCAGCCUUCCACGUCUCAACACAGAACAAAAGAAGUCAAUGUCUUUUCUACCGAAAACUGAGAUUACAAGGUUAAUAUGUAAAGAUGUUUGGCUCUCUCUGUACUUUCUGCUCUGCAUUUUCUUGUUUACAAAGAGUUUUCACUGCUCAAGGUCACUGAUAGCUCAGUAAUUCCUUGCUAAAAUGUAAAACUUUAACUCCCAAACUCUGAAAGACCAAAGUAGGAGAAAGGUUUCCAAAUAUAAACAGUAAGAAGGCUGUCCUGAGGCUUAAAACAGUGAAAAGUUACCUUGGCAAUUUAAUAAUGUGUUUAUAGGUAAUCUGAAUUUGUUACCUUAUGCCAAGGCUAUAAUUUGGAUUCAAAUAUUGUGGAAGGAAAUAAAGUAAAAAGAAAAGGGUAAAUAAACUUGAAAAUAAUACUUAUGUAUGAGGAUGCAUUUUUAGUCAAACGGGUUAAAAGAAAAAGUUUUAGAAAAAGAUGGCUUUUGUAGGACAAUAACAAAUAUAGCUUAUAGCUAAAUCACACAAUGUCUGAGGAAGUUAUACAAGGUUACUGGAGGAUGAGAUUUAGAGGUGGCAUAUGUUUUAUUAUUAAAAGUUAUUAAUAUUCUCCAAAAUUUGGUGUACUGAUGUUAGCAAUUGUAAGAACUGGCAUAUAAAAAUGCAAAUAAAUCUAAUCAAGAAAAUAAUAUUUUUACUAACUUUGUUAGGUUUUACACACUUGAGGAUACUGACUUUUAAUAAAAAUGGGAUUUAUUUUAAAACUUAUUUUGGUCCAAGUUUUAUUUAAGUAUUACUAGGGAUUUAACUUACAUGAAUGGUUAAUCUUUACUUCGGGGAGUUUAGCAACUAAACCUUAGAAGUAUAUGCCAAAGAGGAUAAGAGGAUUCAAAAGGACAGCUGGGUCAGCCAGGACCCAGAGAUGAUGGGACUCCCCUGGUAAGUCAUUUGUCUUCUUGAUUAGACAGGUCAUGGAAUCUCUAGAGAUUCAACUCCAGCCAGUACACAUCUUGUGGGAAGGAUAUUCAAUGGACAGGGACAACUUUCCCAUACUUCCUUGGGAAGUCAUGUGUUUAACAGGCCCCUGAUGCACACAUACAGAUAGCAAAACUGCUAGAGGAGUAGUUAGAGGAGCCAGGAGGAUUAUCUUAAAUCCUUAAGAGUAAUCCCUAAGGAACCUUAGCUGAAUUAAGUAAAAGUUUAUCUGUGAUCACCAACAUGGUCUUCAACACCCCAAAGGACUGUAUAAACAAGGAAAUGGCUGUCAUUCAGAUAGCCAGUUUUAGUCAAUCUAAAAGGGAC